RNAcentral lists this long non-coding RNA (558 nucleotides) under Homo sapiens (human). RNAcentral describes it as "non-protein coding lnc-ZNF468-2:2". The record is from RNAcentral. Lineage: Eukaryota; Metazoa; Chordata; Mammalia; Primates; Hominidae.
CACAGCGCGUGAGUUUCGCUCUGUUUUAUGUGUGCUUCCCAGUCCUGUGGUGCUGCUAUACCGGGGACGUUGAGUCCCCACAGACCUGGAAAUUGCGGCCCCUCUUUCUCAACCCAGAGCAAAUUGAGACGUCCGGGCUGGAGUGCACUGGUGCCAUCUCAGCUCACUGCAACUUCUGACUCCCGAGUUCAAGUGAUUCUUUUGCCUCAGUCUCCCAAGUAGCUGGGACAACAGGGGCGUGCCGAGAAGCCCAGCUAAUUUUGUACUUGUAGUAGAGAGCGGGUUUCACCACGCUGGCCAAAAUUGUCUCAACCUCUUGAUCUCAUGAUCCACCGCCUCACCCUCCCAAAGUGCUGGGAUUACAGGCAUGAGAGUCUCACUCUGUCCUUCAGGCUGUGAGUGCAGUCUCCUGAUCUUGGCUCACUGCAACCUCUGUCUCCUGGGUUCAAGUGAUUCUUGUGCCUCAGCCUACCAAGUAGCUGAGAUACAGGAUUGACUUCUAAAGACUCUUGGUACCUGAGGAAGAAACCCAGAAGAGGAAGAGGAAAGCAAAGGAGU